This 478-nucleotide ribosomal RNA is filed under the name uncultured bacterium. Its description in RNAcentral is "partial 16S ribosomal RNA". It matches the Rfam family "Bacterial small subunit ribosomal RNA", at positions 28 to 523 of the family's 1533-position model. The record is from RNAcentral.
GACGAACGCUGGCGGCGUGCUUAACACAUGCAAGUCGAACGGUAAGGCCCUUCGGGGUACACGAGUGGCGAACGGGUGAGUAACACGUGGGUGAUCUGCCCUGCACUUCGGGAUAAGCCUGGGAAACUGGGUCUAAUACCGGAUAGGACCACUGCCUGCAUGGGUGGUGGUGGAAAGCUUUUGCGGGUUGGGAUGGGCCCGCGGCCUAUCAGGUUGUUGGUGGGGUGAUGGCCUACCAAGGCGACGACGGGUAGCCGGCCUGAGAGGGUGACCGGCCACACUGGGACUGAGAUACGGCCCAGACUCCUACGGGAGGCAGCAGUGGGGAAUAUUGCACAAUGGGCGCAAGCCUGAUGCAGCGACGCCGCGUGAGGGAUGACGGCCUUCGGGUUGUAAACCUCUUUCAGCACCGACGAAGCGCAAGUGACGGUAGGUGCAGAAGAAGGACCGGCCAACUACGUGCCAGCCGCCGCGGUAA